AUUGACCGAGGGUUCUGGCUGCUGCUGUCGCGAGUCCAUCUCGGUGUCUGUACAAGGCGUCGCUUCCCACGGGCUGCUUCUGGGCGGUGACGGAGCGUCGCGGGGGUACGAAGGCAGGUCGGUUCCGGGGAGGCAGGGACUUCGCGGUGGCCGAACUUCCUCUAGGCGGCGCGGGGGUCCAAGAGCUUCCACCCAUCUCCCCCUCCCUCAGCGCCUCCCAGCUCCCUCCACGUGAGCCUUCACACGGGUGCUUCCCCUAAUGACAUCCUUGCACAUUUCAUCCUGUCUCGGCCUCUGCUUCAUGGAGGACCUAGACGAUCUUCCAGCCACCGCUAGCACCAGCUUCACGGCAGGUGUGCACUCUUCGGUAAUUCCUAACUGCAACAGGAGCUGACACAUGAGCCUCCCGUUCCCAACUUCGUACAUUUUCUGAAACGCCAACUGCGGAAGGGACGGGCUCGCCGAAGAAGCCACCUCCUCCGAUCUCUCCACUCUCCUCCUCAGCCCGCCCUCCUGCCUCUACCCCACGUUUCAUGCACUCUUCCGAGCCCCGCGUGCCACCAGCUCACAGCCACAUAGCAUCUUCCGCCGCUGGCACCCAUCAUCCUGUAUCUGGCUGACCCAGCCUGGGCCACAGAGCCUGCUGGAACCUGCCAGCCAAGGAAGCGGCAGCCUACACACCCACCCCGUGCUGCACGGGCAGGGAUGGCACCCCCAUCCAGCCACGGCCAGAGAAGGCUGCUGUGUGAUGCCCAGGAGAUCAGUGGUCAUACUGGAUGGACAGAUGGACAGACACCAGCCCCCAGUGUGGGGAGACUCAGGAUCACCUGCCAGAUGAGCCUGUG
Choloepus didactylus (southern two-toed sloth) is the source of this 845-nucleotide long non-coding RNA. RefSeq lists it as uncharacterized. NCBI's taxonomy places the organism in Eukaryota, Metazoa, Chordata, Mammalia, Pilosa, Megalonychidae. The transcript is spliced from 3 exons. The record is from RefSeq and is a predicted model, not a curated record.